GAUGAACGCUGGCGGCGUGCCUAAUACAUGCAAGUCGAGCGAACGGACGAGAAGCUUGCUUUUCUGAUGUUAGCGGCGGACGGGUGAGUAACACGUGGAUAACCUACCUAUAAGACUGGGAUAACUUCGGGAAACCGGAGCUAAUACCGGAUAAUAUUUUGAACCGCAUGGUUCAAAAGUGAAAAACGGUCUUGCUGUCACUUAUAGAUGGAUCCGCGCUGCAUUAGCUAGUUGGUAAGGUAACGGCUUACCAAGGCAACGAUGCAUAGCCGACCUGAGAGGGUGAUCGGCCACACUGGAACUGAGACACGGUCCAGACUCCUACGGGAGGCAGCAGUAGGGAAUCUUCCGCAAUGGGCGAAAGCCUGACGGAGCAACGCCGCGUGAGUGAUGAAGGUCUUCGGAUCGUAAAACUCUGUUAUUAGGGAAGAACAUAUGUGUAAGUAACUGUGCACAUCUUGACGGUACCUAAUCAGAAAGCCACGGCUAACUACGUG
This 497-nucleotide ribosomal RNA is filed under the name uncultured bacterium. Its description in RNAcentral is "partial 16S ribosomal RNA". It matches the Rfam family "Bacterial small subunit ribosomal RNA", at positions 28 to 507 of the family's 1533-position model. The record is from RNAcentral.